AUUGAACGCUGGCGGCAGGCCUAACACAUGCAAGUCGAGCGGUAGCACAGAGAGCUUGCUCUCGGGUGACGAGCGGCGGACGGGUGAGUAAUGUCUGGGAAACUGCCUGAUGGAGGGGGAUAACUACUGGAAACGGUAGCUGAUACCGCAUAACGUCGCAAGACCAAAGUGGGGGACCUUCGGGCCUCAUGCCAUCAGAUGUGCCCAGAUGGGAUUAGCUUGUAGGUGAGGUAACGGCUCACCUAGGCGACGAUCCCUAGCUGGUCUGAGAGGAUGACCAGCCACACUGGAACUGAGACACGGUCCAGACUCCUACGGGAGGCAGCAGUGGGGAAUAUUGCACAAUGGGCGCAAGCCUGAUGCAGCCAUGCCGCGUGUAUGAAGAAGGCCUUCGGGUUGUAAAGUACUUUCAGCGAGGAGGAAGGCGACAAGGUUAAUAACCUUGUCGAUUGACGUUACUCGCAGAAGAAGCACCGGCUAACUCCGUGCCAGCCGCCGCGGUAA
RNAcentral lists this ribosomal RNA (504 nucleotides) under uncultured bacterium. RNAcentral describes it as "partial 16S ribosomal RNA". It matches the Rfam family "Bacterial small subunit ribosomal RNA", at positions 30 to 523 of the family's 1533-position model. The record is from RNAcentral.